This 521-nucleotide ribosomal RNA is filed under the name Sungouiella blattae. RNAcentral describes it as "eukaryotic LSU rRNA". It matches the Rfam family "Eukaryotic large subunit ribosomal RNA", at positions 40 to 575 of the family's 3401-position model. The record is from RNAcentral. Lineage: Eukaryota; Fungi; Ascomycota; Pichiomycetes; Serinales; Metschnikowiaceae.
AUAUCAAUAAGCGGAGGAAAAGAAACCAACAGGGAUUGCCUCAGUAACGGCGAGUGAAGCGGCAAAAGCUCAAAUUUGAAAUCCUUCGGGAGUUGUAAUUUGAAGGUGAAGGGACCGCGGUAGAUGAUGAUUAAAGUCCCUUGGAACAGGGCGCCUUAGAGGGUGAGAGCCCCGUACAGUCAUCCAUCUUCCUCUUAUGUUCUUUCUCCAAAGAGUCGAGUUGUUUGGGAAUGCAGCUCAAAGUGGGUGGUAAAUUCCAUCUAAAGCUAAAUACCGGCGAGAGACCGAUAGCGAACAAGUACCGUGAGGGAAAGAUGAAAAGCACUUUGAAAAGAGAGUGAAACAGUACGUGAAAUUGUUGAAAGGGAAGGGCUUGCAAGCAGACACAACCCUCGUGGUUGGGCCAGCAUCGGUUGCUAGGGGUGGAUAAGGCGGCGGGAAUGUAGCUUCCUCGGAAGUAUUAUAUCCCGCUGAGAUACACCCACCGGCGACCGAGGCCUGCGAUUCUAAAUCAAGGAUGC